This 286-nucleotide ribosomal RNA is filed under the name uncultured bacterium. RNAcentral describes it as "partial 16S ribosomal RNA". It matches the Rfam family "Bacterial small subunit ribosomal RNA", at positions 524 to 795 of the family's 1533-position model. The record is from RNAcentral.
UACGAAGGGGGGCUAGCGUUGUUCGGAAUCACUGGGCGUAAAGCGCACGUAGGCGGACUUUUUAAGUCAGGGGGUGAAAAUCCCCGGGGGCUCAACCCCGGAACUGCCUUUGAUACUGGAAGUCUUGAGUCCGAGAGAGGUGAGUGGAACUCCGGAGUGUAGAGGUGAAAAUUCGUAGAUAUUCGGAAGAACACCAGUGGCGAAGGCGGCUCACUGGGCUCGGGUACUGACGCUGAGGGUGCGAAAAGCGUGGGGGAGCAAAACAGGAUUAGAUACCCGGGUAGUC